CUUCUUGAAGAGAUCUUGUUAAUAAAGAAAACUAAGUAUGAAAACUUACUGCAGUAGGAGAGUGCACUGCCUUGAUGUGCUUAGCUGUGCCUCAGAACCAGAAAAUUAGAGAUUAGAGGUUUGGGAUCUGUGUUCAAAUGGUUUAAGGCAUAUCUGUCAAGAGAGGAAACUGAUCAGAUUUGACUAAGUUAAUGAAAUGGUUUAGGAUUCGUGGACACAGCAAGCAAGGACCUUAAAGAGUCUUGAUAAACUGUUGUUUGAUAAAUGAGCUGUAUGCCCAGGUAAGCAAAUUAUUGUCUCCCUCCUAUCAGAAUUUCUUUAUGCAAACAAAAAUUAGGGACUGUUUCUGUUUGGUUUUUUGUUUGCUUUGUUUACAAUCUUAUCUUUCCUAGGCAAAGAUUUCCUGGAAUAAACAACUAAAUUAUAUUGAUACAGCAUCCUCAGGCCACCCCUCCCCUGUUGCAAACUUCCCGGGAGUUGGGCUGCUACAAUUCGCAUGGAGACUCUCCUGCCACCUACGCGUUUCCCAGAGCAACAGCAUGAGCAGUUUAGGGGGAAGCAAGGCAAGUCGACAGAAUAGAUCCUCAAGUGAUGUGGACUCAGUUUCUUGCUGGAAUUUGCAAAGCCGAUUUAAAUAUGAUCUUAGUUGUCAGAAGAUUGCUUUUAAAAUGUAGAAAUUAAAGAAGACAGUCUCUGAGAAUGCAAAUUUUGAAGAACUUGGAAUCUUUUUCAUUUCAAAUAUAAUAUUAACCACAGAGCUCAUCUGGCUGGAUAUCACAGAGUUUACAACAUGAGGAAAUCAAAAUAAUAAAAACAGCCUCUCUACCUUGCUGGUGUUCGGU
RNAcentral lists this long non-coding RNA (842 nucleotides) under Ursus maritimus (polar bear). RNAcentral's name for it is "lncRNA (ENSUMAG00000000265.1)". Lineage: Eukaryota; Metazoa; Chordata; Mammalia; Carnivora; Ursidae. The record is from RNAcentral.